GAUGAACGCUGGCGGCGUGCCUAAUACAUGCAAGUCGAGCGAACGGACGAGAAGCUUGCUUCUCUGAUGUUAGCGGCGGACGGGUGAGUAACACGUGGAUAACCUACCUAUAAGACUGGGAUAACUUCGGGAAACCGGAGCUAAUACCGGAUAAUAUUUUGAACCGCAUGGUUCAAAAGUGAAAGACGGUCUUGCUGUCACUUAUAGAUGGAUCCGCGCUGCAUUAGCUAGUUGGUAAGGUAACGGCUUACCAAGGCAUCGAUGCAUAGCCGACCUGAGAGGGUGAUCGGCCACACUGGAACUGAGACACGGUCCAGACUCCUACGGGAGGCAGCAGUAGGGAAUCUUCCGCAAUGGGCGAAAGCCUGACGGAGCAACGCCGCGUGAGUGAUGAAGGUCUUCGGAUCGUAAAGCUCUGUUAUUAGGGAAGAACAUAUGUGUAAGUAACUGUGCACAUCUUGACGGUACCUAAUCAGAAAGCCACGGCUAACUACGUG
Molecule: ribosomal RNA, 497 nt
Filed under: uncultured bacterium
Lineage: Bacteria
Description: partial 16S ribosomal RNA
Rfam family: Bacterial small subunit ribosomal RNA
Source: RNAcentral